This 31-nucleotide small RNA is filed under the name Bombyx mori (domestic silkworm). RNAcentral's name for it is "piRNA piR-bmo-1349398". The record is from RNAcentral. Lineage: Eukaryota; Metazoa; Arthropoda; Insecta; Lepidoptera; Bombycidae.
AGACCACGACUUUAGGACGCGACGCGUUCGC